GACGAACGCUGGCGGCGUGCCUAAUACAUGCAAGUUGAGCGCUGAAGGUUGGUACUUGUACCUACUGGAUGAGCAGCGAACGGGUGAGUAACGCGUGGGGAAUCUGCCUUUGAGCGGGGGAUAACAUUUGGAAACGAAUGCUAAUACCGCAUAAAAACUUUAAACACAUGUUUUAAGUUUGAAAGAUGCAAUUGCAUCACUCAAAGAUGAUCCCGCGUUGUAUUAGGUAGUUGGUGAGGUAAAGGCCCACCAAGGCGAUGAUACAUAGCCGAACUGAGAGGGUGGUCGGCCAAAUUGGGACUGAGAAACGGCCCAAACUCCCACGGGAGGGAGCAGGAGGGAAACGUCGGCAAUGGACGAAAGGCCGACCGAGCAACGCCGCGGGAGUGAAGAAGGUUUUCGGAUCGGAAAACUCUGGUGGUAGGGGAGAACGUUGGUGGGAGUGGAAAGCGCAUCAAGUGACGGUAACUACCCAGAAAGGGACGGCUAACUACGUG
Molecule: ribosomal RNA, 497 nt
Filed under: uncultured bacterium
Lineage: Bacteria
Description: partial 16S ribosomal RNA
Rfam family: Bacterial small subunit ribosomal RNA
Source: RNAcentral